Molecule: non-coding RNA, 117 nt
Filed under: Actinomadura madurae
Lineage: Bacteria; Bacillati; Actinomycetota; Actinomycetes; Streptosporangiales; Thermomonosporaceae
Description: SAM-IV sequence
Rfam family: SAM (S-adenosyl methionine) riboswitch aptamer
About the family: SAM-IV is a mRNA element that regulates gene expression via direct sensing of S-adenosylmethionine (SAM or AdoMet). SAM-IV riboswitches share conserved nucleotide positions with the previously described SAM-I riboswitches sequence analysis and molecular recognition experiments suggest that SAM-I and SAM-IV riboswitches share similar ligand binding sites, but have different scaffolds.
Source: Rfam by way of RNAcentral
GGUCAUGAGCGCCAGCGUCAAGCCCCGGCUUGCUGGCCGGCAACCCUUCGUCCGCGAUGGGGUGCCCCGGGUGAGGACCUGGCCGGACGCACCACCGCGUCCCGGCAAGCGCGGACC